This 82-nucleotide transfer RNA is filed under the name Microcaldota archaeon. RNAcentral's name for it is "Candidatus Micrarchaeota archaeon tRNA-Ser". It matches the Rfam family "tRNA". From Rfam's summary of the family: Transfer RNA (tRNA) molecules are approximately 80 nucleotides in length. Their secondary structure includes four short double-helical elements and three loops (D, anti-codon, and T loops). RNAcentral also lists the same sequence under 1 other name. The record is from RNAcentral. Lineage: Archaea; Nanobdellati; Microcaldota.
GCUGGGGUCGCAUAGUGGUAUUGCGCUGGCCUGCUAAGCCAGUGUCCUUCGGGACACGCGGGUUCGAAUCCCGCCCCCAGCG